Gossypium hirsutum (cotton) is the source of this 106-nucleotide non-coding RNA. The record is from Rfam. Lineage: Eukaryota; Viridiplantae; Streptophyta; Magnoliopsida; Malvales; Malvaceae.
AACCUAUGAGGCAGACAUUUCUGAACCAAAGUUUUAAACUGUUCCCAAGCCUCGUAGAAACUUUCUCCUUCCAUCUGUCUAAAGACAUCAAUCUCUAUUCUGAUCU